UCUUCCUGUGUGGAAGCUGGGAUUCCAAUGGCAGGCAGGAAAUCUUGUAGUAGGUGAUCGUGGCCUUCCUUGGGAUCCCUGUUUCCCCCUUUUAUUCCCUUUUCACCCAGUAAAACCCUGCUUUGCUCACUCUUUAAAGCAUCUGUGAGCGUAAAUUUUUGUGGCCAUGGGAUGGACAAGAACCACAUGUUUACCUGAAGUCCUGUGACAUUUUGGUGUGCAGCAUGGGAGCUCCAAAAGUGGAUAAAGAAUGUUGCCAUUGAGAGGGCUCUAAUGGUGGAAUUACCUUCAACUAACAUUUACUGAGAGGAGGAGAGGCAACUGAGACAAGAAGUCAAGAGAUUUAAAGUCAGCAGUUCUCAAGGAAAAUGCUACCCUGGAAAGAAAAUAUAACCUUAAAGUCUGGCAACUGCUCUGGACUUUUUCCUGAGAUUUUCUUUCAAGAAUAAUUAGCUUUCGAAUUCUUAGACAAGAUAUAUUCUGAAAUAUAUCCAAAUCGCCAGACUUUAAAAGGUCAUUAACAAAUCCAAUGAAUGAGGGCAUAGUAAUGCAUUUAGAGAUCAAAAAUGGAGCAAGAAUUCAAGUAUAUAUUCAGCUUUCUGAAACCCCCUCUGUCUGCUCUAUCAACAAUCACCAAAAGGAGACUGAACAGGAACUGCCUAUCCAAUUCCUACACUGAGCACAAAACAAGGUAUUGGUGAAUGAAAUGAUUGCUUAGAAAACUGAAAGCACUCCUCUUUGACUGAAUACAGCUUGAUUUAUUCAUAGAUAAUGUUUUAAGAUAGGAGUUGUGUUAUUAUUGAUUUGUUGUUAUUGACAUAACCUACAUCAAGUAUAACAAUUUUCUAAAUAUUUCAGUGAUAUGAGAAAGUCUUAUUAACUAUUUGAUUUAUAAGAAUAUUUUAAAAACCAUGUAGAACUGCUAUAAGAUUUUUGCAAAAUUAUCGUGUCAGAAAUGGUACUAAGAUUUA
RNAcentral lists this long non-coding RNA (971 nucleotides) under Homo sapiens (human). RNAcentral describes it as "novel transcript". Lineage: Eukaryota; Metazoa; Chordata; Mammalia; Primates; Hominidae. The record is from RNAcentral.